RNAcentral lists this transfer RNA (73 nucleotides) under Clostridium sp. AF32-12BH. RNAcentral describes it as "tRNA-Gln". It matches the Rfam family "tRNA". From Rfam's summary of the family: Transfer RNA (tRNA) molecules are approximately 80 nucleotides in length. Their secondary structure includes four short double-helical elements and three loops (D, anti-codon, and T loops). Lineage: Bacteria; Bacillati; Bacillota; Clostridia; Eubacteriales; Clostridiaceae. The record is from RNAcentral.
UGGGCAUUCGCCAAGCGGUAAGGCGCAAGAUUUUGAUUCUUGUAUUGCACUGGUUCGAAUCCAGUAUGCCCAG